Molecule: ribosomal RNA, 801 nt
Filed under: Salmonella enterica subsp. enterica
Lineage: Bacteria; Pseudomonadati; Pseudomonadota; Gammaproteobacteria; Enterobacterales; Enterobacteriaceae
Description: bacterial SSU rRNA
Rfam family: Bacterial small subunit ribosomal RNA
Source: RNAcentral
GGCGGACGGGUGAGUAAUGCUUAGGAAUCUGCCUAUUAGUGGGGGACAACAUCUCGAAAGGGAUGCUAAUACCGCAUACGUCCUACGGGAGAAAGCAGGGGACCUUCGGGCCUUGCGCUAAUAGAUGAGCCUAAGUCGGAUUAGCUAGUUGGUGGGGUAAAGGCCUACCAAGGCGACGAUCUGUAGCGGGUCUGAGAGGAUGAUCCGCCACACUGGGACUGAGACACGGCCCAGACUCCUACGGGAGGCAGCAGUGGGGAAUAUUGGACAAUGGGGGGAACCCUGAUCCAGCCAUGCCGCGUGUGUGAAGAAGGCCUUUUGGUUGUAAAGCACUUUAAGCGAGGAGGAGGCUACCGAGAUUAAUACUCUUGGAUAGUGGACGUUACUCGCAGAAUAAGCACCGGCUAACUCUGUGCCAGCAGCCGCGGUAAUACAGAGGGUGCAAGCGUUAAUCGGAUUUACUGGGCGUAAAGCGCGCGUAGGUGGCCAAUUAAGUCAAAUGUGAAAUCCCCGAGCUUAACUUGGGAAUUGCAUUCGAUACUGGUUGGCUAGAGUAUGGGAGAGGAUGGUAGAAUUCCAGGUGUAGCGGUGAAAUGCGUAGAGAUCUGGAGGAAUACCGAUGGCGAAGGCAGCCAUCUGGCCUAAUACUGACACUGAGGUGCGAAAGCAUGGGGAGCAAACAGGAUUAGAUACCCUGGUAGUCCAUGCCGUAAACGAUGUCUACUAGCCGUUGGGGCCUUUGAGGCUUUAGUGGCGCAGCUAACGCGAUAAGUAGACCGCCUGGGGAGUACGGUCGCAAGA